GACUUCCCGCCAUUCUACUUCAUUGUUACUUCUUCUGUGACUACAGACGCGUACGGAAGCAAUUUCAUUAUUUUAGAUAUUCGCGAGCGAAGCUGCGGGUUAAAGCUAGUUUUAAUAUAAACCAAGAACCACAAUACCUAACAAAUUAAAACUUAUAUCUUCUUAUAAUAACGCGUCAAAGUGUAGAAGUGGUGGAACAAAUAAACUGGUUUGGAAAUUAACUAUUUUCAAUGUCAUUCAGUCGCAGAUUCACAUUGAAACAAUGAAGUCAUGUAAUUAAACAUCAGUAGUGUUUAAUAAGUAGAUAUCUUUCAUAAAUAAUGUAUAAAAUACUUGCAAAUAUAUUACUUUUGACAGUUUAUUGUAUAAGUAAAGUUGGUAAUAAUUCCAAUCAGACAAAUGAUCAUCUACAACAAGAUCCUGCAGACAAUUCUUUGGAGAUCUCUUUUCCUGUAAAUCUAAUAAAAACGAAAGAUGAAGAUAAUAUUGUUACUGGUUGGGGAGUAGGUGGAAAUGAUGUAGAUCCACUAGAAUAUCCGCACAUGGCUGCAUUGGGUUAUGGUGAUUGGAAAA
Long non-coding RNA from Dalotia coriaria, 573 nucleotides. RefSeq lists it as uncharacterized. The transcript has 4 exons. The record is from RefSeq and is a predicted model, not a curated record. NCBI's taxonomy places the organism in Eukaryota, Metazoa, Arthropoda, Insecta, Coleoptera, Staphylinidae.